RNAcentral lists this ribosomal RNA (550 nucleotides) under uncultured Glomeromycotina. Its description in RNAcentral is "SSU rRNA". It matches the Rfam family "Eukaryotic small subunit ribosomal RNA", at positions 548 to 1098 of the family's 1831-position model. The record is from RNAcentral. Lineage: Eukaryota; Fungi; Glomeromycota.
UUGGAGGGCAAGUCUGGUGCCAGCAGCCGCGGUAAUUCCAGCUCCAAUAGCGUAUAUUAAAGUUGUUGCAGUUAAACAGCUCGUAGUUGAAUUUCGGGAUCAAUUUAUCGGUCGUGCCAAUGGUAUGAACUGGUACAAUUGGUCUCUCCCUUCUGAAGAACCAUGGUGUCAUUAAUUUGGUGUUGUGGGGAAUCAGGACUGUUGCUUUGAAAAAAUUAGAGUGUUUAAAGCAGGCUUAGGCUUGAAUACAUUAGCAUGGAAUAAUGAAAUAGGACGCUUUGAUCCUAUUUCGUUGGUUUCUAGGAUCGACGUAAUGAUUAAUAGGGAUAGUUGGGGGCAUUAGUAUUCAAUUGUCAGAGGUGAAAUUCUUGGAUUUAUUGAAGACUAACUACUGCGAAAGCAUUUGCCAAGGAUGUUUUCAUUAAUCAAGAACGAAAGUUAGGGGAUCGAAGACGAUCAGAUACCGUCGUAGUCUUAACCAUAAACUAUGCCGACUAGGGAUCGGAUGAUGUUAAUUUUUAAAUGACUCAUUCGGCGCCUUACGGGAAAC